GAUGAACGCUGGCGGCGUGCCUAAUACAUGCAAGUCGAGCGAACAGACGAGGAGCUUGCUCCUCUGACGUUAGCGGCGGACGGGUGAGUAACACGUGGAUAACCUACCUAUAAGACUGGGAUAACUUCGGGAAACCGGAGCUAAUACCGGAUAAUAUAUUGAACCGCAUGGUUCAAUAGUGAAAGACGGUUUUGCUGUCACUUAUAGAUGGAUCCGCGCCGCAUUAGCUAGUUGGUAAGGUAACGGCUUACCAAGGCAACGAUGCGUAGCCGACCUGAGAGGGUGAUCGGCCACACUGGAACUGAGACACGGUCCAGACUCCUACGGGAGGCAGCAGUAGGGUAUCGUCCGCAAUGGGCGAAAGCCUGACGGAGCAACGCCGCGUGAGUGAUGAAGGUCUUCGGAUCGUAAAACUCUGUUAUUAGGGAAGAACAAAUGUGUAAGUAACUAUGCACGUCUUGACGGUACCUAAUCAGAAAGCCACGGCUAACUACGUG
This 497-nucleotide ribosomal RNA is filed under the name uncultured bacterium. RNAcentral describes it as "partial 16S ribosomal RNA". It matches the Rfam family "Bacterial small subunit ribosomal RNA", at positions 28 to 507 of the family's 1533-position model. The record is from RNAcentral.